This is a long non-coding RNA of Mesocricetus auratus (golden hamster), 758 nucleotides long. RefSeq lists it as uncharacterized. The transcript has 5 exons. The record is from RefSeq and is a predicted model, not a curated record. Lineage: Eukaryota; Metazoa; Chordata; Mammalia; Rodentia; Cricetidae.
ACACAGGAACACAAACUGGAAUCAACUGCUGGAUGUACUCCAGCCCUGGAACCAUAGGAAGGGACCUGAGAAGACAGAAUUGAUUUACAGCGUCAUCUGGCUCUAACCCGGUGAAAGCCAACUUGUCUUCCUCUGAAUUGAUAUAAUUACCAACAUGAGGGAAAGCAGCUCCUUUCUUCAGGUAAUCUAAGAAGUGAGAGGGAAAAGAAAUGAGACAUUCCGAGAGAGGAAAAGAAAAAGGAAACCGAAUGUAACUGCAAGCCUAGUGAUUGAUUCUCCUGAAGCAGAAGGGAGACAUAGCUUAAUGUUGCAAGGAGCCAUGGCUUUGAUGCCUUUCUGGAAUCUGUACUUUUGACCAUGACAACUGGCCUCUUUGUGAUCUCCUGAGAAAGGAUCCCAGUUCACUGUUUUGGACCUGGACAAUGCCAAGCCAUGUCUUUAUCAGAGAGUCAGCUGCUCUUCUCCCCCAGCACAGGUAUCACUGUACUAGCUCUACAGCUGCAUGGUAUAGCGCAAGGAUGGGAUGAAGGCCAGAUUGAUGCCCCAGUGCCUCUACUCACGGAUGGAUGACCCAGGCAACCUAAGAAGCUCUAGCAGUGGCUCAAGAGGGACCCACAGUUGAAAAGUUGCUAAUGGAGCUACUGACAUUGACACCACCACCACAGACCAACAAACUCCUGUUCUACAACCAGAAGAAUCCCAUGUACUAGCUGGAUGCACCCAUGAGAGCUCAGCCAUGCUCCUAUUAGAGUACCACA